UACGUAGGGUGCAAGCGUUGAUCGGAAUUACUGGGCGUAAAGCGUGCGUAGGCGGCUUCGCAAGUCAGGUGUCAAAGCCCUGGGCUUAACCUAGGAAUUGCGCUUGAAACUACGGAGCUCGAGUUUGGCAGAGGGGGGUGGAAUUCCACGUGUAGCAGUGAAAUGCGUAGAUAUGUGGAGGAACACCGAUGGCGAAGGCAGCCCCCUGGGCCAAAACUGACGCUCAAGCACGAAAGCGUGGGGAGCAAACAGG
Molecule: ribosomal RNA, 253 nt
Filed under: uncultured bacterium
Lineage: Bacteria
Description: partial 16S ribosomal RNA
Rfam family: Bacterial small subunit ribosomal RNA
Source: RNAcentral